Long non-coding RNA from Carassius auratus (goldfish), 541 nucleotides. RefSeq lists it as uncharacterized. The transcript has 3 exons. The record is from RefSeq and is a predicted model, not a curated record. NCBI's taxonomy places the organism in Eukaryota, Metazoa, Chordata, Actinopteri, Cypriniformes, Cyprinidae.
CUUCAACAACAACAACGGGGUUAUUAUCCCUCUUCCUGUGAGGCUCUUAAUCCUGUCAUUUAUCUCAGGUGCUGGGCAGUGCAAGUCUUCCUUGCUGCAGCUUUGUGACAGAAUAACCGACCACAACAAGAUGACUGAACUGAGCAAUGUUAACUGGGCUGAAGAUUUUCAGCAGAAGGGCCGGUCUUUGGAGCAGUAUGCGGAGGAGUUUCUGAACGUCAUAAUCUGAUUUUAAAUGGUUCCAAGUUCCUAGUCGAUAUGGAGGAUGAUCACCCUCCUCCCAUCCAGAAGUAUGUGGACGCUCCACCUCAUCACAAGCCAGCUCCCUCCACAUACGGUUCCAAUGAGCCCGCUCCCUCUGUUCCUCCUGCACUUCCAUGAGUUCUCCUAAACUCAUCACUAGUCCUCAGCCCUGGAUCGCUGGCCACUCAAGAUCUCAAGCCCACCGGCUGGUCGGAAAUUGAGCUCCUGAGAGCCCUCCAGUGCACGUUCCUCCAUUGCCCAUUCUCCUUAGCUCCCACCACUAGAAUCACUCUGGGCA